GCCCUUGGGAGGGGAACAACAGCUGGAAACGGUUGCUAAUACCCCAUAGAAUUUAGUACCUCUACGAGGUAGGCUGAGGAGCAAAAGGGAGGAAUCCGCCCAAGGAGGGGCUCGCGUCUGAUUAGUUAGUUGGUGAGGCAAUGGCUUACCAAGGCGACGAUCAGUAGCUGGUCCGAGAGGAUGAUCAGCCACACUGGGACUGAGACACGGCCCAGACUCCUACGGGAGGCAGCAGUGGGGAAUUUUCCGCAAUGGGCGAUAUUCUGACGGAGCAAUGCCGCGUGAAG
RNAcentral lists this ribosomal RNA (287 nucleotides) under uncultured organism. RNAcentral's name for it is "partial 16S ribosomal RNA". It matches the Rfam family "Bacterial small subunit ribosomal RNA", at positions 128 to 406 of the family's 1533-position model. The record is from RNAcentral.